This 253-nucleotide ribosomal RNA is filed under the name uncultured bacterium. RNAcentral describes it as "partial 16S ribosomal RNA". It matches the Rfam family "Bacterial small subunit ribosomal RNA", at positions 524 to 776 of the family's 1533-position model. The record is from RNAcentral.
UACGAAGGGGGCUAGCGUUGCUCGGAAUUACUGGGCGUAAAGCGCACGUAGGCGGUCUUUUAAGUCGGGGGUGAAAUCCUGGAGCUCAACUCCAGAACUGCCUUCGAUACUGGAAGACUUGAGUCCGGGAGAGGUGAGUGGAACUGCGAGUGUAGAGGUGAAAUUCGUAGAUAUCGGGAGGAACACCAGUGGCGAAGGCGGCGACCUGGGCCAAUAUUGACGCUGAGGUGCGAAAGCGUGGGGAGCAAACAGG